GGGCCUGUGGUGUAACCUGGAUAGCACGUCUGGCUUCGGACCAGGAAAUCGGGGUUCAAAUCCUCGCAGGCUCA
RNAcentral lists this transfer RNA (74 nucleotides) under archaeon GW2011_AR15. RNAcentral's name for it is "tRNA-Arg". It matches the Rfam family "tRNA". From Rfam's summary of the family: Transfer RNA (tRNA) molecules are approximately 80 nucleotides in length. RNAcentral also lists the same sequence under 1 other name. The record is from RNAcentral.